AUUGAACGCUGGCGGCAUGCUUUACACAUGCAAGUCGAACGGACUUAGGUGCUUGCACCUAGGUUAGUGGCGAACGGGUGAGUAAUGCAUCGGAACGUACCGUGUAAUGGGGGAUAACGCAGCGAAAGUUGUGCUAAUACCGCAUACGAUCUACGGAUGAAAGCAGGGGAUCGCAAGACCUUGCGUUAUACGAGCGGCCGAUGUCGGAUUAGCUAGUUGGUAGGGUAAAGGCCUACCAAGGCAACGAUCCGUAGCGGGUCUGAGAGGAUGAUCCGCCACACUGGGACUGAGACACGGCCCAAACUCCUACGGGAGGCAGCAGUGGGGAAUCUUGCGCAAUGGGCGAAAAGCCUGACGCAGCCAUGCCGCGUGAAUGAUGAAGGUCUUAGGAUUGUAAAAGUUCUUUAGCCUGUGACGAUGAUGACGGUAACAGGAGAAUAAAGCCCCGGCGUAACUUCGUGCCAGCAGCCGCGGUAAA
Molecule: ribosomal RNA, 478 nt
Filed under: uncultured bacterium
Lineage: Bacteria
Description: bacterial SSU rRNA
Rfam family: Bacterial small subunit ribosomal RNA
Source: RNAcentral